UUCCGCAGACAGUCUCAUGGUAAAUUACUAAAGCUUAGAGUUGGGAAACUCCGGUGAAAUUCCGGGACUGUGCCGCAGCUGUGAAGGGAAAUCCCAAGUCAGAAUGCCAACUCCGGGGUGUCUAAAAGA
This 129-nucleotide non-coding RNA is filed under the name Nostoc sp. Lineage: Bacteria; Bacillati; Cyanobacteriota; Cyanophyceae; Nostocales; Nostocaceae. The record is from RNAcentral.